UAGGGAAUCUUCCGCAAUGGACGCAAGUCUGACGGAGCAACGCCGCGUGAGUGAAGAAGGAUUUCGGUUCGUAAAACUCUGUUGUUAGAGAAGAACAGCGCAUCGAGUAACUGUUAUGCGUGUGACGGUAUCUAACCAGAAAGCCACGGCUAACUACGUGCCAGCAGCCGCGGUAAUACGUAGGUGGCAAGCGUUGUCCGGAUUUAUUGGGCGUAAAGCGAGCGCAGGCGGUCAAUUAAGUCUGCUGUGAAAGCCCCCGGCUCAACCGGGGAGGGUCAUUGGAAACUGGUUGACUUGAGUGCAGAAGAGGAGAGUGGAAUUCCAUGGGUAGCGGUGAAAUGCGUAGAUAUAUGGAGGAACACCAGUGGCGAAGGCGACUCUCUGGUCUGUAACUGACGCUGAGGCUCGAAAGCGUGGGUAGCAAACAGG
RNAcentral lists this ribosomal RNA (429 nucleotides) under Bacteroidota bacterium. RNAcentral's name for it is "Bacteroidetes bacterium partial 16S ribosomal RNA". It matches the Rfam family "Bacterial small subunit ribosomal RNA", at positions 355 to 776 of the family's 1533-position model. Lineage: Bacteria; Pseudomonadati; Bacteroidota. The record is from RNAcentral.